CCCCAGUAACGGCGAGUGAAGCGGCAACAGCUCAAAUUUGAAAUCUGGCCCCUAGGGCCCGAGUUGUAAUUUGUAGAGGAUGCUUUUGGCAAGGCGCCGCCCGAGUUCCCUGGAACGGGACGCCACAGAGGGUGAGAGCCCCGUCUGGCUGGCCGCCGAGCCUCUGUAAAGCUCCUUCGACGAGUCGAGUAGUUUGGGAAUGCUGCUCUAAAUGGGAGGUAUAUGUCUUCUAAAGCUAAAUAUUGGCCAGAGACCGAUAGCGCACAAGUAGAGUGAUCGAAAGAUGAAAAGCACUUUGAAAAGAGGGUUAACCAGUACGUGAAAUUGUUGAAAGGGAAGCGCUCAUGACCAGACUUGGGCUUGGCGGAUCACCCGGCGUUCUCGCCGGUGCACUUCGCCUCGCCCAGGCCAGCAUCAGUUCGCGCCGGGGGACAAAGGCUUCGGGAACGUGGCUCCUCCGGGAGUGUUAUAGCCCGUUGCGUAAUACCCUGGGGCGGACUGAGGUCCGCGCAUCUGCAAGGAUGCUGGCGUAAUGGUCAUCAGCGACCCGUCUUGAAACACGGACCAAGGAGUCGUCUUCGUAUGCGAGUGUUCGGGUGCAAAACCCCUACGCGUAAUGAAAGUGAACGCAGGUGAGAGCUUCGGCGCAUCAUCGACCGAUCCUGAUGUUCUCGGAUGGAUUUGAGUAAGAGCAUACGGGGCCGGACCCGAAAGAAGGUGAACUAUGCCUGUAUAGGGUGAAGCCAGAGGAAACUCUGGUGGAGGCUCGCAGCGGUUCUGACGUGCAAAUCGAUCGUCAAAUAUGGGCAUGGGGGCGAAAGACUAAUCGAACCUUCUAGUAGCUGGUUUCCGCCGAAGUUUCCCUCAGGAUAGCAGUGUUGAACUCAGUUUUAUGAGGUAAAGCGAAUGAUUAGGGACUCGGGGGCGCUAUUUAGCCUUCAUCCAUUCUCAAACUUUAAAUAUGUAAGAAGCCCUUGUUGCUUAGUUGAACGUGGGCAUUCGAAUGUAUCAACACUAGUGGGCCAUUUUUGGUAAGCAGAACUGGCGAUGCGGGAUGAACCGAACGCGAGGUUAAGGUGCCAGAGUAGACGCUCAUCAGACACCACAAAAGGCGUUAGUACAUCUUGACAGCAGGACGGUGGCCAUGGAAGUCGGAAUCCGCUAAGGACUGUGUAACAACUCACCUGCCGAAUGUACUAGCCCUGAAAAUGGAUGGCGCUCAAGCGUCUCACCCAUACCUCGCCCUCAGGGUAGAAACGAUGCCCUGAGGAGUAGGCGGACGUGGAGGUCAGUGACGAAGCCUAGGGCGUGAGCCGGGGUCGAACGGCCUCUAGUGCAGAUCUU
This 1344-nucleotide ribosomal RNA is filed under the name Hypomyces sympodiophorus. RNAcentral's name for it is "eukaryotic LSU rRNA". It matches the Rfam family "Eukaryotic large subunit ribosomal RNA", at positions 78 to 1452 of the family's 3401-position model. Lineage: Eukaryota; Fungi; Ascomycota; Sordariomycetes; Hypocreales; Hypocreaceae. The record is from RNAcentral.